Long non-coding RNA from Oncorhynchus keta (chum salmon), 3528 nucleotides. RefSeq lists it as uncharacterized. NCBI's taxonomy places the organism in Eukaryota, Metazoa, Chordata, Actinopteri, Salmoniformes, Salmonidae. The record is from RefSeq and is a predicted model, not a curated record. The transcript has 2 exons.
CUAGGAGAGGGAUGGGAAACCCUGCUAAUAGACAUAUACAGUGCCUUCAGAAAGUAUUCAGACCGUUUGACUUUUUCCACAUAUUGAAUUUCUCCCCCCCCUCCCCUAAAUCUACACACAAUGACGAAGCAAAAAGAGGUUUAGACAUUUUUACUUAUUUAAAUCAAUCUAAAGCUGAAAUAUCACAUUUACAUUCAGAUAAUGUAUUCAGAUAAUUUACUCAGUACUUUGUUGAAGCACCUUCGGCAGUGAUUACAGCCUGGGGUAUGACGCUACAAGCUUGGCACACCUGUAUUUGGGGAGUUUCUCCUAUUCUUCUCUGCAGAUCCUCUCAAGCUCUGUCUGGUUGGAUGGGGAGCGUUGCUGCUCAGGUAUUUUCAGGUCUCUCCAGUGAUGUUUGAUCGGAUUCAAGUCCAGGCUCUGGUUGGGCCACUCAACGACAUUGAGAAUUGUCCCGAAGCCCCUCCUGCGUUUUCUUGGCUGUGUGCUUAAGGUCGUUGAGCGCUCUGGAGCAGGUUUUCAUCAGGGAUCACUCCAUUCAUCUUUGCCUCGAUCCUGACUAGUCUCCCAGUCGCUGCCACUGAAAAACAUCCCCACAGCAUGAUUGUUCCUCAUGGUCUGAGAGUUUUUAGGCGCCUUUUGGCAAACUCUAAGUGGGCUGUCAUGUGCCUUUUACUGAGGAGUGGAUUCUGUCUGGCAACCAUAUUGGCCUGAUUGGUGGAGUGCUGCAGAGAUUGGAGAACCUUCCAGAAGGACAACCAUCUCCACAGAGGAACCCUGGAGCUCUGUUACCUCCCCGCCCUUCUCUCCCGAUUGCUCAGUUUGGCUAGGCAGCCAGCUCUAGGAAGAGUCUUGGUGGUUCCAAAAACUUAUUCCAUUUAAGAAUGAUGGAGGCUACUGUGUUCUUGGGGACCUUCACUGAUGCAGAAAUGUUUUGGUAGCCUUCCCCAGAUCUCUGCCUUGACACAAUCCUGUCUCGGAGCUCUACGGACAAUUACUUCGACCUCAUGGCUUGGUUUUUGCUCCGACAUGCACUGUCAACUGUGGGACAUUAUAUAGACCGGUGUGUGCCUUUCCAAUUUCAAUUACCACAGGUGGACUCCAAUCAAGUUGUAGAAACAUCUCAAGGAUGAUCAAUGGAAACAGGAAGCACCUGAGCUCAAUUUCAAGUCUCAUAGCAAAGGGUCUGAAUACUUAUGUAAAUACGGUAUCAGUUUUUUACAUUUUAAUACAUUUGCAAAAUUGUUUUAAAAAAUGUUGUUUUCACUUUGUCAUUAUGGGAUAUUGUGUAAAUUGCUGAGGAUGUGUAUUUAUUUAAUUCAAUUUAGAAUAAGGCUGUAACGUAACAAAAUGUGGAAAAAACCAAGGGGUCUGAAUACUUUCCGAAGACACCCGUUAUUUUAUUUUCUUGGUGGUCUUCAUCAAUAACCGUUGGUUACACGGUUAUACGGUAAUUGUGCCAGCCCUAGUUUAAAGUGAGGCUACACAAAUGGCUAAGUGUCCAGAAAUCAACCAUCGUGUAGAAGAGCAACGAGACAGCGGACAGUCAAAGGAGCCAAUGAUACGUAUUGAAAAUGGUCUUUCCCGUUGAAGCUAUACUAACGUAACAACUGUCUUCGAGCUGUCUGCUAAGGUACAUGCAUCCUGUACAAUUUCCUGAGAGGGGGGAAAAGGGGAAUGUUCCAGAAAAAGAGAGUGAGAAAGAGAGAGCAAGAGAUAGGAGAGACGCGGGAUGAGUAUAAUCCAGGGAACAGAUGUUGGGAGCCCAUUGGAGAGUGUGCAGUGAGCUGGGGAUAUGGAUUAUGGAGAGAGAUGUGCUAACAGGAGCUCAUGAUUAGACAGAAACAUGCUAACGCUAGCUCUCAGGUAGACCGCCUGCUGUACUUAGUCCAACGUUAUGAAAGCUAUCCUAGAAAGGCUAGCAUAACAAACCCAAUAACCUGUUAAGAGUCCUUGGGUCUGCCACAAUAGCUGGCAACAUAGAAGGAAAUAUGUGACCCGUUUUAGGAAACUAGGCGUAUGUUGCAGGUCACUACUUCACAGGAGAGUUGUAAACAUCUGAGUGUGCCAGAGUGCAGAAUAACUGAUGAAUUUACGAACGCUGAACACCCGUUGAAUAUGGCUGGUGUCAGUAAAUGUCAGCAAAAAAAUAAAUUGCUGCCAGGAACACAUUUACAGUCACCAACGCUCUGGAUAACAUGAAAACAGCCGAAACAGCUCUGCCAGGGCUGGUAAAAAUGGUCCGAGUUUGGGUUGGGGUUAAAGUUUAAGAUGAUUAUUACGGCAUUGCACACGGUCAGUGUGAACCAGAGUGACUUGACACAGCGGGCCAAGCAAUCUGUACAAACAAAACAGAAACGUUCACAGGACGUCUUAUUUAAUGAAAGGGGUUGAAGUCUGCUGUGAAACAUUCAUCCAUGUAUACCGGUAAGAGUCUAGCUACAGUUUCAGAUAUUAUACUUUUCUAAUUUUGUCAGAAAGUUGUUUCCAUUGCAAGUUAAAGCGUACUGUUAGCUAGAUAGCUGACGUGAGAUGACUGGCUCGCUAGCUAACAUUAUGUGUAUGAUGUUCUCUCGGAAUGCCAUUUCGCAUCGCUAGUUAUAGCCCAAUGUUAGCUAACUAGCUAACAUUGACCCUAUUUGGUUCAUUUUAGCUAGCAAUGACAAUCGGUUUGUAUUGCUAGCAUUUUAUGGAUUGGGAUUAUGGUUCAUUGUUUAGCAAGAUAAACUUUUGUCUAAACAAAAGACCCCAAGUUAAAGCUCACUUUUAGCUAGCUAGCUGACGACCAAUCAAGUUACUCAGGUGUCUGACGGUGAUUACGACCAUCUAUUGUAUAAUAAUGCUAAAAUAUUUGCAUCUGGAAUGUGUCUUUCAGCAUCAGUAGAACACACACCGGACUCUCCUCCAUCAAUCAUAGAAGGAGAAUGGUCUAAUUCCUCCCAUCAAAAAGAGAGCUGGCCCAAGCAGAGGUUACUCCCAAAGCAUGAGGAGCGUGACCUUCAUCAACGACUACACAGAGGAUAAUAGGACAAAAACACUUGGUGGAAAGAUGCUGCUGCCAUGUGACAAAAGCAGCUCUACAAGGAAUCAAUGACAAACCUUGCUUCGAUGCUCUGGAGCCUGGUGUCAUCAUCAUCAAACGUUCAGACUCAGUCGGGAACAGGUUUCAGCUGCUGCGCAAUGCUGACAUCAUUCCUCCCGUAGAUGAUCUGCCUGUAGAAGCACCGUAUCUUUUUGAGAAGAUCGGGGAGUUUUGCGACAGAGGCUAUGGACAUCACAUGCCCUGCACCAAAGUCAAGGCCAGGACAGAAACAGGCUCUCCGAAUAUAGAUUCCCUUGUUCAUGCGUGGUUCAGAAGGACCAGUCAUCAGCACUAUCUGCAGUGCCUCUAUUCACAUGACUCUCUCCACAUGUUGCUUUUUAUUUAUUAUAUAUUUAAUUUACCCCCGAUUGUAUGCAUAUCUGCCUCAUCAUUUGUUUCACGAGCUGAAAUAAAAAGAUCACAGAAAUGUUCAAUACGCACAAAAA